This 29-nucleotide non-coding RNA is filed under the name Rattus norvegicus (Norway rat). The record is from RNAcentral. Lineage: Eukaryota; Metazoa; Chordata; Mammalia; Rodentia; Muridae.
UGAUUUUUUCUGGAGCAUCUUCAUAGGAU